RNAcentral lists this non-coding RNA (98 nucleotides) under uncultured Clostridium sp. Its description in RNAcentral is "SAM riboswitch (S box leader)". It matches the Rfam family "SAM riboswitch aptamer (S box leader)". From Rfam's summary of the family: The SAM riboswitch is found upstream of a number of genes which code for proteins involved in methionine or cysteine biosynthesis in Gram-positive bacteria. The SAM riboswitch acts at the level of transcription termination control. The record is from RNAcentral. Lineage: Bacteria; Bacillati; Bacillota; Clostridia; Eubacteriales; Clostridiaceae.
CUUAUCUAGAGUGGUGGAGGGACUGGCCCUAUGAAGCCCAGCAACCAAUAGUAUUUUUACUAUGGGUGCUAAGUCCUGCAGAUUUCUGAGAGAUAAGG